GACGAACGCUGGCGGCGUGCUUAACACAUGCAAGUCGAACGGAAAGGCCCUGCUUUUGUGGGGUGCUCGAGUGGCGAACGGGUGAGUAACACGUGAGUAACCUGCCCUUGACUUUGGGAUAACUUCAGGAAACUGGGGCUAAUACCGGAUAGGAGCUCCUGCUGCAUGGUGGGGGUUGGAAAGUUUCGGCGGUUGGGGAUGGACUCGCGGCUUAUCAGCUUGUUGGUGGGGUAGUGGCUUACCAAGGCUUUGACGGGUAGCCGGCCUGAGAGGGUGGACGGGCACAUUGGGACUGAGAGAGGGCCCAGACUCCUACGGGAGGCAGCAGUGGGGAGUAUUGCACAAUGGGCGGAAGUCUGAUGCAGCAACGCCGCGUGCGGGAUGACGGCCUACGGGUUGUAAACCGCUUUCGCCGGUGACGAAGCGUGAGUGACGGUAAUGGGUAAAGAAGCACCGGCUAACUACGUG
This 468-nucleotide ribosomal RNA is filed under the name uncultured bacterium. Its description in RNAcentral is "partial 16S ribosomal RNA". It matches the Rfam family "Bacterial small subunit ribosomal RNA", at positions 28 to 507 of the family's 1533-position model. The record is from RNAcentral.